Molecule: ribosomal RNA, 440 nt
Filed under: uncultured bacterium
Lineage: Bacteria
Description: partial 16S ribosomal RNA
Rfam family: Bacterial small subunit ribosomal RNA
Source: RNAcentral
CCUACGGGAGGCAGCAGUGGGGAAUAUUGCACAAUGGGGGAAACCCUGAUGCAGCGAAGUCGCGUGAGUGAAGAAGUACCUCGGUAUUUAAAGCUCUAUCAGCAGGGAAGAAAAUGACGGCACCUGAUUAAGAAGCCCCGGCUAACUACGUGUCAGCAGCCGCGGUAAUACGUAGGGGGCAAGCGUUAUCCGGAUUUACUGGGUGUAAAGGGGGCGUAGACGGCAGCGCAAGUCUGAAGUGAAAUGCCGGGGCUUAACCCCGGAACUGCGUGGGAAACUGUGCAGCUGGAGUGCAGGAGAGGUAAGUGGAAUUCGUGGUGUAGCGGUGAAAUGCGUAGAUAUUAGGAGGAACACCAGUGGCGAAGGCGGCUUACUGGACUGUAACUGACGUUGAGGCUCGAAAGCGUGGGGAGCAAACAGGAUUAGAUACCCCAGUAGUC